CAAAUACUUACGCGUUCGAGUCCAUUUCGUAGUCUUUCGCCUUGGUGACGUGUUUUCGUCGACACCGACAAAAGAGGAAUAACCGCGCGGCGAAC
Long non-coding RNA from Bombus impatiens (common eastern bumble bee), 95 nucleotides. RefSeq lists it as uncharacterized. NCBI's taxonomy places the organism in Eukaryota, Metazoa, Arthropoda, Insecta, Hymenoptera, Apidae. The record is from RefSeq and is a predicted model, not a curated record. The transcript has 3 exons.